This 465-nucleotide ribosomal RNA is filed under the name uncultured bacterium. RNAcentral describes it as "bacterial SSU rRNA". It matches the Rfam family "Bacterial small subunit ribosomal RNA", at positions 338 to 795 of the family's 1533-position model. The record is from RNAcentral.
CCUACGGGUUGCAGCAGUGGGGAAUAUUGCACAAUGGGCGCAAGCCUGAUGCAGCCAUGCCGCGUGUAUGAAGAAGGCCUUAGGGUUGUAAAGUACUUUCAGUUGGGAGGAAGGCGUUGAUGCUAAUAUCAUCAACGAUUGACGUUACCAACAGAAGAAGCACCGGCUAACUCCGUGCCAGCAGCCGCGGUAAUACGGAGGGUGCAAGCGUUAAUCGGAAUUACUGGGCGUAAAGCGCACGCAGGCGGUUUGUUAAGUCAGAUGUGAAAUCCCCGGGCUCAACCUGGGAGCUGCAUUUGAAACUGGCAAGCUAGAGUCUCGUAGAGGGGGGUAGAAUUCCAGGUGUAGCGGUGAAAUGCGUAGAGAUCUGGAGGAAUACCGGUGGCGAAGGCGGCCCCCUGGACGAAGACUGACGCUCAGGUGCGAAAGCGUGGGGAGCAGACAGGAUUAGAUACCCGCGUAGUC